UACCUCCUGAGAUUACAUCUGGAGAGUGGCUAGUAUUCUGCCAGCUUCAGAAGCAGGAAGGAAAACAAGGCCAACAGAGGUGCCCAUUCCAUUCCCAGCUUGCUCAGUAGCUGACAAUUGGAAGACACACUGAGGAAAAG
Jaculus jaculus (lesser Egyptian jerboa) is the source of this 140-nucleotide small nucleolar RNA. Lineage: Eukaryota; Metazoa; Chordata; Mammalia; Rodentia; Dipodidae. The record is from Ensembl.